AGCGAACGCUGGCGGCAGGCUUAACACAUGCAAGUCGAGCGGGCAUCUUCGGAUGUCAGCGGCAGACGGGUGAGUAACACGUGGGAACGUACCCUUCGGUUCGGAACAACUCUGGGAAACUGGAGCUAAUACCGGAUACGCCCUUAUGGGAAAAGGUUUACUGCCGAAGGAUCGGCCCGCGUCUGAUUCGCUAGUUGGUGGGGUAACGGCCUACCAAGGCGACGAUCAGUAGCUGGUCUGAGAGGAUGAUCAGCCACACUGGGACUGAGACACGGCCCAGACUCCUACGGAAGGCAGCAGGGGGGAAAAUUGGACAAUGGGCGCAAGCCUGACCCAGCCAGGCCGCGGGAGUGAUGAAGGCCUUAGGGUUGUAAAGCUCUUUUGUCCGGGACGAUAAUGACGGUACCGGAAGAAUAAGCCCCGGCUAACUUCGU
This 434-nucleotide ribosomal RNA is filed under the name uncultured bacterium. RNAcentral describes it as "partial 16S ribosomal RNA". It matches the Rfam family "Bacterial small subunit ribosomal RNA", at positions 29 to 506 of the family's 1533-position model. The record is from RNAcentral.